This 492-nucleotide ribosomal RNA is filed under the name uncultured bacterium. RNAcentral's name for it is "partial 16S ribosomal RNA". It matches the Rfam family "Bacterial small subunit ribosomal RNA", at positions 29 to 507 of the family's 1533-position model. The record is from RNAcentral.
AGUGAACGCUGGCGGUAGGCCUAACACGUGCAAGUCGAACGGCAGCACAGUAAGAGCUUGCUCUUACGGGUGGCGAGUGGCGGACGGGUGAGGAAUACAUCGGAAUCUACUUUUUCGUGGGGGAUAACGUGGGGAAACUUACGCUAAUACAGCAUACGACCUACGGGUGAAAGCAGGGGAUCUUCGGACCUUGCGCGAUUGAAUGAGCCGAUGUCGGAUUAGCUAGUUGGCGGGGUAAAGGCCCACCAAGGCGACGAUCCGUAGCUGGUCUGAGAGGAUGAUCAGCCACACUGGAACUGAGACACGGUCCAGACUCCUACGGGAGGCAGCAGUGGGGAAUAUUGGACAAUGGGCGCAAGCCUGAUCCAGCCAUACCGCGUGGGUGAAGAAGGCCUUCGGGUUGUAAAGCCCUUUUGUUGGGAAAGAAAAGCAGCAGGUUAAUACCCCGCUGUUCUGACGGUACCCAAAGAAUAAGCACCGGCUAACUUCGUG